This 2895-nucleotide ribosomal RNA is filed under the name Clostridioides difficile. RNAcentral describes it as "bacterial LSU rRNA". It matches the Rfam family "Bacterial large subunit ribosomal RNA". Lineage: Bacteria; Bacillati; Bacillota; Clostridia; Peptostreptococcales; Peptostreptococcaceae. The record is from RNAcentral.
UCAAGUUAUUAAGGGUGCAGGGCGGAUGCCUUGGCACUAGGAGCCGAUGAAGGACGUGAUAAGCUGCGAUAAGCUUCGGGGAGUUGCACGUAAACUUUGAUCCGAAGAUUUCCGAAUGAGGAAACUCACUUAGAGUAAUGUCUAAGUAUCAUUAAGUGAAUACAUAGCUUAAUGAGGGGAACUCAGGGAACUGAAACAUCUAAGUACCUGAAGGAAGAGAAAGAAAUUCGAUUCCGUAAGUAGCGGCGAGCGAACGCGGAUUAGCCCAAACCAAUAAAGUUUUCUUUAUUGGGGUUGCGGACAUAUCAUAACGAAGAGGUAUCGUAAUUGAAGAGGUUUGGAAAGACCCACCACAGAAGGUAAUAGUCCUGUAUGUUAAACGAGAAGACUUUAGAUAUGAUCCAGAGUACCACGGGACACGUGAAACCCUGUGGGAAGCAGGAGGGACCACCCUCCAAGGCUAAAUACUACCUAGUGACCGAUAGCGUAUAGUACCGUGAGGGAAAGGUGAAAAGAACCCCGGGAGGGGAGUGAAAUAGAACCUGAAACCCUGCACUUACAAGCUGUGGAAGCACAUUUCUUGUGUGACCGCGUACUUUUUGUAGAACGGGCCAACGAGUUACGUUAAGUAGCAAGGUUAAGCACUUAAGGUGCGGAGCCGUAGCGAAAGCGAGUUUUAACUGAGCGUUCAGUUACUUGACGUAGACCCGAAACCGGGCGACCUACCCAUGAGCAGGAUGAAGCGAAAGUAAAAUUUCGUGGAGGUCCGAACCCACGAGCGUUGAAAAGCUCGGGGAUGACUUGUGGGUAGCGGUGAAAUUCCAAUCGAGCCCGGAGAUAGCUGGUUCUCCCCGAAAUAGCUUUAGGGCUAGCCUCAAGGUGAGAGAUACGGAGGUAGAGCACUGAAUGUCCUAGGGGGUAUUGCACCUACCGAAGACUAUCAAACUCCGAAUGCCGUCAUCUUAUACUUGGGAGUCAGACUGUGGGUGAUAAGAUUCAUAGUCGAAAGGGCAACAGCCCAGAUCGUCAGCUAAGGUCCCUAAAUGUAAGUUAAGUGGUAAAGGAUGUGGGAUUGCACAGACAACCAGGAUGUUGGCUUAGAAGCAGCCACUCAUUCAAAGAGUGCGUAAUAGCUCACUGGUCGAGUGAUCCUGCGCCGAAGAUUUCCGGGGCUAAAACUUACUACCGAAGCUACGGCAUCAGUAAUGAUGGGUAGGGGAGCUUCCCAUACGGGUUGAAGCAUGACCGUAAGGACAUGUGGACAGUAUGGGAGUGAGAAUGUUGGCAUGAGUAGCGAGAUGUGGGUGAGAAUCCCACAGGCCGUAAACCCAAGGUUUCCAGGGGAAGGUUCGUCCGCCCUGGGUUAGUCGGGACCUAAGCUGAGGCCGAAAGGCGUAGGUGAUGGACAACAGGUUGAUAUUCCUGUACUACCGAUAACCGUUUGAGAGAAGGGAUGACACAGUAGGAUAAGCUAAGCACACUGUUGGUUAUGUGUGCCCAAGCAUUGAGGCAGUCAAAGUAGGUAAAUCCGCUUUGAUAAUGCUGGGAUGUGAUGGGGAGCGAAAUUUAGUAGCGAAGUAGCUGAUUUCACACUGUCAAGAAAAGUCUCUAUCGAGGUUAAAGGUACCCGUACCGCAAACCGACACAGGUGGGUGAGGAGAGUAUCCUAAGGCCAGCGAGAGAACUGUUGUUAAGGAACUCGGCAAAAUGACCCCGUAACUUAGGGAUAAGGGGUGCCACCAUCAGGUGGCCGCAGAGAAUAGGCCCAAGCGACUGUUUACCAAAAACAUAGGUUUCUGCUAAGUCGCAAGACGAUGUAUAGGAGCUGACGCCUGCCCGGUGCUGGAAGGUUAAGGGGAUCUGUUAGAGCAAUCGAAGCAGUGAACUUAAGCCCCAGUAAACGGCGGCCGUAACUAUAACGGUCCUAAGGUAGCGAAAUUCCUUGUCGGGUAAGUUCCGACCCGCACGAAAGGCGUAACGAUUUGGGCACUGUCUCAACAACAGACUCGGUGAAAUUGUAAUUCCGGUGAAGAUGCCGGAUACCUGCGACAGGACGGAAAGACCCCAUGGAGCUUUACUGUAGCUUGACAUUGGGUCUUGGUACUACAUGUACAGGAUAGGUGGGAGGCUUUGAAACCAGGACGCCAGUUUUGGCGGAGCCAUCCUUGGGAUACCACCCUUGUAGUACUGGGACUCUAACCAUAGGCCAUGAAUCUGGUCUUGGGACACUGUCAGGUGGGCAGUUUGACUGGGGCGGUCGCCUCCCAAAAGGUAACGGAGGCGCUCAAAGGUUCUCUCAGUACGGUCGGAAAUCGUACGUAGAGUGUAAAGGCAAAAGAGAGCUUGAUUGCAAGACAUACAGGUCGAGCAAGGAUGAAAAUCGGACUUAGUGAUCCGGUGGUUCUGCGUGGAAGGGCCAUCGCUCAACGGAUAAAAGCUACCCUGGGGAUAACAGGCUUAUCUCCCCCAAGAGUCCACAUCGACGGGGAGGUUUGGCACCUCGAUGUCGGCUCAUCACAUCCUGGGGCUGUAGUAGGUCCCAAGGGUUGGGCUGUUCGCCCAUUAAAGUGGUACGCGAGCUGGGUUCAGAACGUCGUGAGACAGUUCGGUCCCUAUCCGUCGCAGGCGUAGGAAAUUUGAGAAGACCUGUCCUUAGUACGAGAGGACCGGGAUGGACGUACCUCUGGUGUACCAGUUGUCUGCCAAGGGCAUGGCUGGGUAGCUAUGUACGGAAUGGAUAAGCGCUGAAAGCAUCUAAGCGCGAAGCCAACUUCAAGAUAAGAUUUCCCACCGCAAGGGUAAGACCCCAGAAAGACUAUCUGGUUGAUAGGUCGAAGGUGUAAGUGCAGCAAUGUAUUUAGCUUAUCGAUACUAAUAGGUCGAGGACUUGACCAA